Molecule: ribosomal RNA, 1355 nt
Filed under: uncultured bacterium
Lineage: Bacteria
Description: bacterial SSU rRNA
Rfam family: Bacterial small subunit ribosomal RNA
Source: RNAcentral
AUUGAACGCUGGCGGCAGGCUUAACACAUGCAAGUCGAACGAUGAUUAUCUAGCUUGCUAGAUAUGAUUAGUGGCGGACGGGUGAGUAACAUUUAGGAAUCUGCCUAGUAGUGGGGGAUAGCUCGGGGAAACUCGAAUUAAUACCGCAUACGACCUACGGGUGAAAGGGGGCGCAAGCUCUUGCUAUUAGAUGAGCCUAAAUCAGAUUAGCUAGUUGGUGGGGUAAAGGCCCACCAAGGCGACGAUCUGUAACUGGUCUGAGAGGAUGAUCAGUCACACCGGAACUGAGACACGGUCCGGACUCCUACGGGAGGCAGCAGUGGGGAAUAUUGGACAAUGGGGGCAACCCUGAUCCAGCCAUGCCGCGUGUGUGAAGAAGGCCUUUUGGUUGUAAAGCACUUUAAGCAGAGAGGAGAGGCUAAUGGUUAAUACCCAUUAGAUUAGACGUUACCUGCAGAAUAAGCACCGGCUAACUCUGUGCCAGCAGCCGCGGUAAUACAGAGGGUGCGAGCGUUAAUCGGAAUUACUGGGCGUAAAGCGAGUGUAGGUGGCUCAUUAAGUCACAUGUGAAAUCCCCGGGCUUAACCUGGGAACUGCAUGUGAUACUGGUGGUGCUAGAAUAUGUGAGAGGGAAGUAGAAUUCCAGGUGUAGCGGUGAAAUGCGUAGAGAUCUGGAGGAAUACCGAUGGCGAAGGCAGCUUCCUGGCAUAAUAUUGACACUGAGAUUCGAAAGCGUGGGUAGCAAACAGGAUUAGAUACCCUGGUAGUCCACGCCGUAAACGAUGUCUACUAGCCGUUGGGGUCCUUGAGACUUUAGUGGCGCAGUUAACGCGAUAAGUAGACCGCCUGGGGAGUACGGCCGCAAGGUUAAAACUCAAAUGAAUUGACGGGGGCCCGCACAAGCGGUGGAGCAUGUGGUUUAAUUCGAUGCAACGCGAAGAACCUUACCUGGUCUUGACAUAGUGAGAAUCCUGCAGAGAUGCGGGAGUGCCUUCGGGAAUUCACAUACAGGUGCUGCAUGGCUGUCGUCAGCUCGUGUCGUGAGAUGUUGGGUUAAGUCCCGCAACGAGCGCAACCCUUUUCCUUAUUUGCCAGCGGGUUAAGCCGGGAACUUUAAGGAUACUGCCAGUGACAAACUGGAGGAAGGCGGGGACGACGUCAAGUCAUCAUGGCCCUUACGACCAGGGCUACACACGUGCUACAAUGGUAGGUACAGAGGGUUGCUACACAGCGAUGUGAUGCUAAUCUCAAAAAGCCUAUCGUAGUCCGGAUUGGAGUCUGCAACUCGACUCCAUGAAGUCGGAAUCGCUAGUAAUCGCAGAUCAGAAUGCUGCGGUGAAUACGUUCCCGGGCCU